CAGCCGCCACGGUAAUACGUAGGUGGCAAGCGUUGUCCGGAAUUAUUGGGCGUAAAGGGCUCGCAGGCGGUUUCUUAAGUUUGAUGUGAAAGCCCCCGGCUCAACCGGGGAGGGUCAUUGGAAACUGGGAAGCUUGAGUGCAGAAGAGGAGAGUGGAAUUCCACGUGUAGCGGUGAAAUGCGUAGAGAUGUGGAGGAACACCAGUGGCGAAGGCGACUCUCUGGUCUGUAACUGACGCUGAGGAGCGAAAGCGUGGGGAGCGAACAGGAUUAGAUACCCGGGUAGUCCCUGUCUCUUAUAC
Molecule: ribosomal RNA, 301 nt
Filed under: uncultured bacterium
Lineage: Bacteria
Description: partial 16S ribosomal RNA
Rfam family: Bacterial small subunit ribosomal RNA
Source: RNAcentral